UACAGAGGUCUCGAGCGUUAGGCGGAAUCACUGGGCUUAAAGCGUGUGUAGGCGGAGUGCUAAGUACCUUGUGAAAUCCCACGGCUUAACCGUGGAACUGCUUGGUAUACUGGUUCUCUUGAGCCACCUAGGGGCGAGCGGAACAAAUGGUGGAGCGGUGAAAUGCGUAGAUAUCAUUUGGAACGCCAACGGUGAAAACAGCUCGCUGGGGGUGUGCUGACGCUGAGACACGAAAGCCAGGGGAGCGAACGGG
RNAcentral lists this ribosomal RNA (253 nucleotides) under uncultured bacterium. Its description in RNAcentral is "partial 16S ribosomal RNA". It matches the Rfam family "Bacterial small subunit ribosomal RNA", at positions 524 to 776 of the family's 1533-position model. The record is from RNAcentral.